ACAUACUUCCUUAUAUCCCCAUAUUCAGAAUUAAUCUAUGGAAUGUAAGGAAGUGUGUGG
This 60-nucleotide microRNA precursor is filed under the name Danio rerio (zebrafish). RNAcentral describes it as "Dre-Mir-1-P2b_pre stem-loop". It matches the Rfam family "mir-1 microRNA precursor family", at positions 10 to 70 of the family's 79-position model. Rfam says of the family: This family represents the microRNA (miRNA) mir-1 family. miRNAs are transcribed as ~70nt precursors (modelled here) and subsequently processed by the Dicer enzyme to give a ~22nt product. In this case the mature sequence comes from the 3' arm of the precursor. The record is from RNAcentral. Lineage: Eukaryota; Metazoa; Chordata; Actinopteri; Cypriniformes; Danionidae. RNAcentral also lists the same sequence under 1 other name.